Non-coding RNA from Peromyscus maniculatus bairdii (prairie deer mouse), 2482 nucleotides. Lineage: Eukaryota; Metazoa; Chordata; Mammalia; Rodentia; Cricetidae. The record is from RefSeq and is a predicted model, not a curated record.
GUAACAAAGGGUGAUGAAAUGCUAUGUGAACAAGUCAUUCUCCCCCACUCCCUGUCAAUAUAUAUUUACAUGGACACUUAUUGAAAUGAAAUACAAAGAAAGAUCAAUGUGGUUAUUGACACGGUGCAGAAAGAUGAGGUAAUUUGAGAACAGUACAUAGCUAGAAUCUCAGUGAUGACGUAAGAAGCAGACUGGGCUAAACACGCCUGGAGGGAGGCUCACAUUUGAAGAGGACAUCAUCAGCCAAGGAACAAUGAGGAACACUUGAUGGUAGAGCAGUUCAGUUUCUCCAACAGAAAUGCCAUUCCAUUACUCCAUGCACAACACGUGCCUUGAAACACCUGGCAGAUAAAAGAACUGGAGAACUUGUAACAACGAUCGUGGCACAAUCGAUGAAAUUCAAAACGCUUGGCCAGACGAAUCCAGACCAUGUCCACACACCUCCUGCUGACUUGGACUUCUCUCUGUUGCUUUGAGACGGCCUUCAGAUCUAGAAUGCCCUUCACUCAUGCCCCAUGUGACCGCUCCCCAGCGAGAGGCUGCUGGAGCUGUGCACACUGGAGGGGUAGCAAGCAUGCUGGAAGCAUGCCUGCUCUCCUGACCUCACCAGCUGCAGGGAGAGGAAAAAGCCGAUCAACACGUGAACAGAAUGCCUGCGCUAGCCCGGGGUUCUCAGGGAAGAAGACGUGGCCUGAAAUGCAGGGCUGGGUGAAAUCUUGAGGCAGGGAAAGCCUCACAGAGGUGGCAUUUGAGAAUUACACCUUGGGGCUGUUAAAGCAAGCUUUUUUUUUCUUUUUAAAUUUGUACACAUUACAUUUUGAUCAUAUUCUUUCCCUUUCCCAAAGUCUCCCUGGAUCCUCCCCAUCUCCCUGUCUACCCAACUUCAUAUCUUCCCCUAACAAUGAUAUUAAUAACAAUAAAUAAAGUUUUAGAAAAAUACCACAAACCAAAAGACAAAAAACACCAAACCAUAACAAAAGAACACACACACAUACAUUCACACACACACACACACACACACACACACACACACACACACACACACCAGAAUAAAAAGGCACCGUGGGACCCGCUCUGUGUUAUCAAUUGCUCCUGAGCACAAGGCCUGUCCCAGAGUGUAGUUGAUGAUAAACCCAGUGCCACUCCAUCUGCAAAGGCAGAUUUCCCCUCUUUACAGCUAUCAUGCAAUGCUUGGUUAGGGGUGGGGCUCUGUGUCCACUUCUUCUCCAUCCUGGGAUUUUGUCUGACUUGGGCCUGUGCAGAUGUGUGCAUGCUUUGCCAGUCUCUGUGAGCUCAUAUGUGCGUUUUUCCUGUCAUGUCCGGGAAACAGCAUUUCCUUGGAGUCAUCCACUACCUCUGGCUCUUACAACCUUUCUCUGCCCUCUAUUCUGAGCCCGGAGGGGAGGGCUUUGGUAUAGAUAUCCCAUUUAGGGGUGAGUGCUCCAAGGUCUCUCACAGGGUGAGCUAUAGCUGUCUCUUCAUUUUGGUAUUUUCAUUUCCAGCUACCCAGGGCAAGGUUUAUCCACAUCUCAUGUACCUUCAUAUCCUCCCUCCAGAGCUAUGAACACAGUAAAUGCUUACAUUCAAAUCAAAUUAACUUUCAAAAAGUGCUACUUAUGAGCUGUUUCCUAUUUGAGUUAUAUUUUGUACCUCAUCUAGCUCUGAAUCAUAUGAGAUUUCAAAAGUCAUUGCUACCUCUAGACCUGUUUACUGUUCUCUGUUCAGAAAACCCCACCAAUGGCUGCCGAGGGCUCAUCUUGAGAGUUCAAGUGGAGAAAUAAUGGUCUCUUCCAUUAGUUUCAGAUAAUUAUGCUUUGGUGAGUAAAAAGGGAAGUUUUUUGACUUUCCACUUGAAAGCAUCCCCCCAUUGGGGGAUUCCUCAUUGAAAGCAUAAGAAAGGGAAGUUUUAGUUAACUAACCAGAGUACUGAGAGGAGCCCUAUACACUAUAAACUGGAUCUCACAAAGUCGGCAAGAGGAGGCACAGUUUUGUUUUUCUUUCUGCUUUUGUUUGUAAUGGGGGUAUCGUCUGUCUGUGUACACAUAUGUGUGUGAGUACGCUCAUGUUCAGGUGCAUGCGGACCCGGAGGUUGACAUCAGGUUUCUUCUCUACCUCAUCUCAUUAGAGAGGUCUUUCACUGUUUCCACGCACCCGGGGCUGGACUUACAGGUCCCUGCUGCCAUGCGUAGCUAGAGCCUCUCCAGUCCUUGACAAGGGCACUGGGACUGAACUCAAGUCAUCUGGCUUGCACGGCAGACAUUUCACCUACUGAGCCAUCUGCCCAGCUCUUCUUUCUCUCUUCUAAAAUAAAUGUCCUGCUCUUUUGUCCUGGACUUAAAUACUGUGGUCUAUAGAAUCUUUUAUUCCUUAAGUGACACUUAUUAAAGGUAAGUAAAUUGUUCUCCCAGAAGAACAGGUAGGGCAGGUAAUAAAAGUGCCCAUUUCUGAAGAAUCCAAAUGUCCCUAACUAGUUGGGAUCUGA